RNAcentral lists this transfer RNA (79 nucleotides) under Paenibacillus popilliae. RNAcentral's name for it is "tRNA-Phe". The record is from RNAcentral. Lineage: Bacteria; Bacillati; Bacillota; Bacilli; Caryophanales; Paenibacillaceae. RNAcentral also lists the same sequence under 1 other name.
GGCUCGGUAGCUCAGUCGGUAGUGCAUAGGACUGAAAAUCCUAGAUUCUGUCCUGAUCGAUUAUUCAAAGGCCUAACCU